GAUGAACGCUGGCGGCGUGCUUAACACAUGCAAGUCGAACGGGAAACCUUUUAUUGAAGCUUCCGCAGAUUUAGCUGGUUUCUAGUGGCGGCCCGGUGAGUAACUCGUUAGUAGCCUGCCCUAUACACGGGGAUAACAACCAGAAAUGGUUGCUAAUACCGCAUAAGCGCACAGGGCCGCAUGGUCCGGUGUGACAAACUCCGGUGGUAUAGGCUGGACCCGCAUUGCAUUCUCCAGUUGUGAGGGUAACGGCCUACCAAAGCGACGAUCCAUAGCCGGCCUGUGAGGGUGAGCGGCCACAUUGGGAGGGGGACACAGCCCAGACUCCUACGGGAGGGAGGAGUGGGGGAUAUUGCAACAUGGCGGAAACCCUGAUGCAGCGAGGACGCGUGAAGGAAGUAGUAAGUCAGUAUGUAAACUGCUAUCAGCUGGGAAGAUAUUGACGGUACCUGACUAAGAAGCCACGGCUAACUACGUG
This 478-nucleotide ribosomal RNA is filed under the name uncultured bacterium. Its description in RNAcentral is "partial 16S ribosomal RNA". It matches the Rfam family "Bacterial small subunit ribosomal RNA", at positions 28 to 507 of the family's 1533-position model. The record is from RNAcentral.